GUGGGGAAUCUUAAACAAUGGGCGCAAGCCUGAUCUAGCCAUGCCGCGUGAGCGAUGAAGGCCUUAGGGUUGUAAAGCUCUUUCGUGGGGGAAGAUAAUGACUGUACCCCAAGAAGAAGCCCCGGCUAACUCCGUGCCAGCAGCCGCGGUAAUACGGAGGGGGCUAGCGUUGUUCGGAAUUACUGGGCGUAAAGCGCACGUAGGCGGACUGGAAAGUCAGGGGUGAAAUCCCGGGGCUCAACCCCGGAACUGCCUUUGAAACUCCCAGUCUUGAGUUCGAGAGAGGUGAGUGGAAUUCCGAGUGUAGAGGUGAAAUUCGUAGAUAUUCGGAGGAACACCAGUGGCGAAGGCGGCUCACUGGCUCGAUACUGACGCUGAGGUGCGAAAGCGUGGGGAGCAAACAGGAUUAGAUACCCCGGUAGUCC
Molecule: ribosomal RNA, 425 nt
Filed under: uncultured bacterium
Lineage: Bacteria
Description: partial 16S ribosomal RNA
Rfam family: Bacterial small subunit ribosomal RNA
Source: RNAcentral